AUUGAACGCUGGCGGCAUGCCUUACACAUGCAAGUCGAACGGUAACGGGCCUUCGGGUGCCGACGAGUGGCGCACGGGUGAGUAAUACAUCGGAACGUGCCCGAUCGUGGGGGAUAACGAGGCGAAAGCUUUGCUAAUACCGCAUACGAUCUACGGAUGAAAGCAGGGGACCGCAAGGCCUUGCGCGGACGGAGCGGCCGAUGGCAGAUUAGGUAGUUGGUGGGAUAAAAGCUUACCAAGCCGACGAUCUGUAGCUGGUCUGAGAGGAUGAUCAGCCACACGGGGGACUGAGACACGCCCAGGCCUCCGGGGGGAGGCGGAGGGGGGGAUUUUGGAAAAAGGGCCGCAAGCCUGACCCAGCCAGCCCGCGGGAAGGAUGAGGCCCUUGGGUUGGAAAACUGUUUUUGUACGGAAGAAAAAGCUUUUUUUUAAUACGGGGGGGUCAGGAGGGACCGGAAAAAAAAACCCCCGCCAACCUACGGC
This 483-nucleotide ribosomal RNA is filed under the name uncultured bacterium. RNAcentral describes it as "partial 16S ribosomal RNA". It matches the Rfam family "Bacterial small subunit ribosomal RNA", at positions 29 to 508 of the family's 1533-position model. The record is from RNAcentral.